UGGCAAUUGAGAAGAGUUACAUACAACUAUUCACGUCGAAUUAACCGAGAAGAUCCAAGACAGAAGCCCGAGAACUCACUUUUUCUAUGUCAACACUCUCUGAAGUGACUUUGAAACGUCCUCUUUGUUGAACAACUGGUGGCUUUGAUUUGUCAUCGAUCUCCUCAUUAGAGCCUGCAACAUUAAGUGGUUACUUAGAGUUGACAAUAAACACUCACGUCCUUUUAAACAAGUUGAAAUAAGAUAACUUGUUGCAUACGAAACUUAGGAAACUCACCAUCUAGUGCUACUGUGGCACCAUUGUUGGAUGGGAUUCUUGGCA
This 322-nucleotide long non-coding RNA is filed under the name Linum usitatissimum (flax). RNAcentral's name for it is "long non-coding RNA (LUSI_LNC001055)". Lineage: Eukaryota; Viridiplantae; Streptophyta; Magnoliopsida; Malpighiales; Linaceae. The record is from RNAcentral.